GCAUUGGUGGUUCAGUGGUAGAAUUCUCACUUCCCAUGUGGGAGAUUGGGUUCGAUUCCCGACCAAUGCA
This is a non-coding RNA of Vombatus ursinus (common wombat), 70 nucleotides long. The record is from the annotation of a RefSeq genome assembly. NCBI's taxonomy places the organism in Eukaryota, Metazoa, Chordata, Mammalia, Diprotodontia, Vombatidae.